Ornithodoros turicata is the source of this 661-nucleotide long non-coding RNA. RefSeq lists it as uncharacterized. The transcript has 4 exons. NCBI's taxonomy places the organism in Eukaryota, Metazoa, Arthropoda, Arachnida, Ixodida, Argasidae. The record is from RefSeq and is a predicted model, not a curated record.
CGGAGCCUCUGCAACCUCGCCUCACAACCCGGACUGCUGACGCUGAUGAUGCAUCAGAUACCUUACAGACAUGGCCUCCCGAACGAUGCACACCUCCAUCCAGCUACCCCUGCGGCAACAGUUCUUUCGCAUCUGGCACACCCCAAGCUACCUCUCUGACGCCUCUUUCACAAUCAACCAAUGCCGAGAUAACGCCGUUACCAACUGUGCCCUACUGAUGUUGGUAAUCCUUCUGCUGAAGAGCAGCCGGCUUGCAUAGAAGAUCUCCCAUGUGUGGAACACGAGCGAGAUUCUAUGUACCAUGCAGGGCACGAUGUGUGAUUGGCCAGGGCAGUUUGAGACAGUCUUCCAAUACAAGGAAGACUCAAUGUUUAUAAAACAGGCUGCCUUGGCCAUCUGGCCAGCAUCAGUACUUCAGGAGAAAACUGUCACGGGAACCCUCUCAAACCGGGCGAUUUCUGAGGGCCACACCCAAAUUAAGCCUGCCCUUACCCCGUUGAGUGCCCUGUAUGCUCUCUACUACCACAGACUGGGUGUCACAGAACUGGAGGCAAGCAACACAGAUCGAAAUGCACGUGAAAAGAAGUGCGCCAUUAUGUGUCCCAGAAAAUUUCUGAUAUUCGCAGACUACAGAAGCGAAAUGAGCAGAAUGAAUGUUUUU